Gasterosteus aculeatus aculeatus (three-spined stickleback) is the source of this 1903-nucleotide long non-coding RNA. NCBI's taxonomy places the organism in Eukaryota, Metazoa, Chordata, Actinopteri, Perciformes, Gasterosteidae. The record is from Ensembl.
CUUUAAUUAGUGAUGAAGUAACCCAUGUUUCGUGAAGGGCGUUGUGUACAAAUAAUUGGUAUUAUAAAUACAUAAAAACAAAGGCUUUUUAAGAGUUCUAUUGAUAAAGCUUUGAUAUAAUCUGUGUAAGAAGCAAAGCAGCUUUCCCGUUUCAUGGGUCUGCUCAAGGUCAAACGAGAUGGAUGCUAACCCGGAUAAGAUCAGUCAGAGCGGGUGAGGGGGAGGGAGACAGCGGUAGGAAGAUAUUCUAGUAUGUUUGAUAGCUUAUUCUCCAAUAACCAUGAAAACAACAUAGAGACCUGCUGUCUUAUCUGUGCUAGACUUCACAAAGAAUGAAGUCAUAAGAAAUGGCUAUUUUAUCUCCUCAUUCAUUUUCUAAUAAAUUGGUAGGCCAGUAAAUUUAAAGUUGUACUAUAUGUGAGUAUGAACCAUUUGUCUGAACACAUCAAAACACAGAAAAAGAUUAGCAGCCUGUAAUUGUAUAGUGUGACAGUGAUGGUAAUGCUCCACCUAAUUACUAUUCAUACAGCAGAUGAUGUGUGCGGAUGAAGGUGUUAGGCGGAGCAAAUGCCUUGCUAUGUAACUGAAAAAUAUGAAAACUUCACGACGAUAUUAAUCUGACCUGCCAUAAUGACGAUUACUUAAAAAGCCGGAGAUGGCAUCAAGUUCCACAGGAAAAGGUCACCAUAUUUAUUGCUUCCUUUGAGGGAAAUGUCACUGUCAAAAUUACUCAGGUAUCAUGAUUUAAUUCAUUCAUUUGUAACUCUGUUAUUUGCACUAAAUUAGUUAUUUUGAUUUGAAUGUCACAUUAGCAAAAUUAAACUGCAGUGAGGGUAAACAUACACUUCCGAUAUAAAUAUAUCACUCUGUCAACUUGCUUAAGUUGAAAUGCUAGUUAAGUCACAGCUAGUUAACAGGGAGAAAACGGGGAAAUACUGUCAUGACACUGCUGAUAAAAGAGAUACCGUUUACUGUCACCAGAUAAGAUCUCUUUUUCAUAAGAUUUGAUCGAGUUUUUUUCCCUUUAAUCCAGUUUAAAGUAUUUCUCUUUCACACCAGGUGAAUGAAAUGAACUACUCCUGAUGUCCUUUGCUUGUAAACGUUUUAUUAAUCUCAAGCAGAACACAAUGUGACAUAAUUCCAUUGUCCAGAGCAAUAUUCCCAUUUAGUGGUAAAAAUGGUAAAAAAAGCAAAGAUAAACUGAUGCUUGAGAAUACGAGAGAGGCGCAUUUCAUCUUCCAUUCCAUCUAAUCUUUAUUAAUGAAAAAUGUCACACGGUAAACCGGGUGUUUCUCGAUUGUUUAUAGGAGUUAACAGCCAGUAAAACAUUCAGGGGAAACAGGAAAAGCAGCAAUUGUGUCACACGGCCCGUAGAUGUCAGCCUUCUCCCAAAUAUGCUUUCACAGAUUUACACAGCUAGAGGUCAACGAGGGGUGCGGACUGGUCCAGAGACACAGUAGUGGGCAAGUCUGACUGAUGGUUAUGCCACGUGGGUAAAUAGAUGACCUGCAUGUUAAAAUGAAGGUCACUAUUAAUAUUCACAGUUUAGUUUGCACUGUUGCCUGAUCUGACCAAAUCUACAAGCAACCCAAUUCAUGUGAAUAUCACAUUAUCACAUUUUUUAAAGGCCUGAUGACAUCACCAGACACCUGCUUACUUUGUUAUUUCUUCACAUUGGAGGAAAUGACUUUAUUCAGAAGAAUACGCUCAGUAAUUGUGUAUCUCUGGCUAUUUCUGUGUCUAGACGUUUGUCCUGUGGAGCUCCCUGACUCACUGCAAGAUGAAAAACUGUCCGCAAUGGAGUCUUGCAGGAGGUUGUGUCUGUCUUCUGAUUGGUUGACAGACACUAUUACAGUAAAUUGCAGUCGAGUAUAAUUAAGGAAUAAAUCUCUUUGCAACAUCA